GAUGAACGCUGGCGGCGUGCCUAAUACAUGCAAGUCGAGCGAACAGACGAGGAGCUUGCUCCUUUGACGUUAGCGGCGGACGGGUGAGUAACACGUGGGUAACCUACCUAUAAGACUGGGAUAACUUCGGGAAACCGGAGCUAAUACCGGAUAAUAUUUCGAACCGCAUGGUUCGAUAGUGAAAGAUGGCUUUGCUAUCACUUAUAGAUGGACCUGCGCCGUAUUAGCUAGUUGGUAAGGUAACGGCUUACCAAGGCAACGAUACGUAGCCGACCUGAGAGGGUGGUCGGCCACACUGGAACUGAGACACGGUACAGACUCCGACGGUAGGCAGCAGUAGGGAAUCUUCCGCAAUGGGCGAAAGCCUGACGGAGCAACGCCGCGUGAGUGAUGAAGGUCUUCGGAUCGUAAAACUCUGUUAUUAGGGAAGAACAAACGUGUAAGUAACUGUGCACGUCUUGACGGUACCUAAUCAGAAAGCCACGGCUAACUACGUG
RNAcentral lists this ribosomal RNA (497 nucleotides) under uncultured bacterium. RNAcentral's name for it is "partial 16S ribosomal RNA". It matches the Rfam family "Bacterial small subunit ribosomal RNA", at positions 28 to 507 of the family's 1533-position model. The record is from RNAcentral.